This 881-nucleotide ribosomal RNA is filed under the name Lactiplantibacillus plantarum. Its description in RNAcentral is "bacterial SSU rRNA". It matches the Rfam family "Bacterial small subunit ribosomal RNA", at positions 56 to 921 of the family's 1533-position model. The record is from RNAcentral. Lineage: Bacteria; Bacillati; Bacillota; Bacilli; Lactobacillales; Lactobacillaceae.
UGCAGUCGACGACUCUGGUAUUGAUUGGUGCUUGCAUCAUGAUUUACAUUUGAGUGAGUGGCGAACUGGUGAGUAACACGUGGGAAACCUGCCCAGAAGCGGGGGAUAACACCUGGAAACAGAUGCUAAUACCGCAUAACAACUUGGACCGCAUGGUCCGAGUUUGAAAGAUGGCUUCGGCUAUCACUUUUGGAUGGUCCCGCGGCGUAUUAGCUAGAUGGUGGGGUAACGGCUCACCAUGGCAAUGAUACGUAGCCGACCUGAGAGGGUAAUCGGCCACAUUGGGACUGAGACACGGCCCAAACUCCUACGGGAGGCAGCAGUAGGGAAUCUUCCACAAUGGACGAAAGUCUGAUGGAGCAACGCCGCGUGAGUGAAGAAGGGUUUCGGCUCGUAAAACUCUGUUGUUAAAGAAGAACAUAUCUGAGAGUAACUGUUCAGGUAUUGACGGUAUUUAACCAGAAAGCCACGGCUAACUACGUGCCAGCAGCCGCGGUAAUACGUAGGUGGCAAGCGUUGUCCGGAUUUAUUGGGCGUAAAGCGAGCGCAGGCGGUUUUUUAAGUCUGAUGUGAAAGCCUUCGGCUCAACCGAAGAAGUGCAUCGGAAACUGGGAAACUUGAGUGCAGAAGAGGACAGUGGAACUCCAUGUGUAGCGGUGAAAUGCGUAGAUAUAUGGAAGAACACCAGUGGCGAAAGCGGCUGUCUGGUCUGUAACUGACGCUGAGGCUCGAAAGUAUGGGUAGCAACAGGAUUAGAUACCCUGGUAGUCCAUACCGUAACGAUGAUGCUAAGUGUUGAGGGUUUCCGCCCUUCAGUGCUGCAGCUAACGCAUAGCAUCGCUGGGAGUACGCCGCAUGCUGAACUCAAGAUGACGGGGGCC